UGAGUGUGCAGGGAAGAUCACAGGGAAGGGUAAGCACCCUAUCUUCUGACACCACCACCAGUGCUUGAGUGUCAUGCUGAAGCAAGACACUUCUUGACUGUUAAUUCUCCAUCCAAGCCCUUCUUGAGUCCAGUUUUCCAAAAGCAAAGUUUAACAAGAGCAUCAGUGAUCUUUGUGUCUUCCUUUUUAUUCCUCUGAGUGGACAAGUCUGCUUCUAACUUUUCAGAGAUCCAAGAUAUUCUUACCUGAGCCUGCAAAACUUUCAUCUGAGGAUCAAAAACAACCAGGUGCAUGCUGUUGCUGCAACCAGACCAGAUUACCUGCUUAACGAAAUUCUCCUGUGACUUCUCGAAUAUAUAUGAACUAAACACUGCUGACUGUCAAUAUACACCUUUGAAGGACGGGAGGGAGAAGAGUCAACAUGUUGCAGGUUUUUCCUUUUUUAGGAAAAUCAUAUGCUUACAACAAACUAGCAUCAGUUGCAAUUGGAAUAAAAAUAGGAGUCAGUUCAUGGCAAGAGACAG
Molecule: long non-coding RNA, 524 nt
Organism: Gallus gallus (chicken)
Lineage: Eukaryota; Metazoa; Chordata; Aves; Galliformes; Phasianidae
Source: Ensembl